Molecule: long non-coding RNA, 492 nt
Filed under: Pan troglodytes (chimpanzee)
Lineage: Eukaryota; Metazoa; Chordata; Mammalia; Primates; Hominidae
Description: lincRNA
Source: RNAcentral
AGGUUAACUGGUCAGGGAAAAGAUUUCUUUUGGAACGCAGAAGCCAUCGCUGUGUGCGGAAAUCCAUGACCUGGCCAUGACUUCUACAACCCGGAGGACUUGCCUGGCAUUACCGAAAAGCACAGGGGAAAGAUUCUGUGGCAGAGAAUGGUGGGAGUUGUGAUCCGUACCUCCGUGUGCAUAAUGGUUGUACCUGCUCCAGGAAGGCGCUGGAUCCUCCCAAAUCCAUGGCCUGUUCCAGCCACGGUGUCAACAUGCCUUGCUCCAUAGCUCUGGAAGGCACACCAAGCAGGAGCAGUGAACAGAAGAUGAGAAGGGAAGAGAUUAGGACACAAACAACAGACAGAAGGUGACCACAGGAGGACACAGUGAGAAGCUGGCCAUCUGCAAGCCAAGGAGAGAGACCUCAGGAGAAACCAAACCUGCCAGCACCUUGAUCUUAGACUUCUAGCCCUCAGAACGGUGAGGAAAUAAAUCUCUGUUGUUCAUGCC